GAUGAACGCUGACAGAAUGCUUAACACAUGCAAGUCGAUGGGGAAGUGGUGCUUGCACCAUGGCAACCAUGGCGGACGGGUGAGUAACGCGUAAGGGACUUACCUGCAGGACUGGGAUAACAGGGGGAAACUCCUGACAAGACCGGAUAAUGUCAUGGAGCUGCAUGGCUUUAUGAUGAAAGGAGACGCCUGCGGAGAGCCUUGCGUCCUAUUAGCUAGUUGGUGAGGUAAUGGCUCACCAAGGCGGAGAUGGGUAGCCGGCCUGAGAGGGUGGAGGGCCACAAGGGCACAGAGAUACCGCCGUUACUCCUACGGGAGGCAGCAGUGGAAAAUAUUGGACAGGGGGGGCGACCCUGAUACAGCAAUUCUGUGUGCAAGAAGAAGGUUUUCGGAUUGUAAAGUGCUUUCAGGAGGGAAGAAGUAAGUGACGGUACCUGCAGAAGAAGCGACGGCUAAAUACGUG
This 463-nucleotide ribosomal RNA is filed under the name uncultured bacterium. RNAcentral's name for it is "partial 16S ribosomal RNA". It matches the Rfam family "Bacterial small subunit ribosomal RNA", at positions 28 to 507 of the family's 1533-position model. The record is from RNAcentral.